ACGGAAGGCAGCAGUGAGGAAUAUUGGUCAAUGGGCGAGAGCCUGAACCAGCCAAGUAGCGUGCAGGAUGACGGCCCUCCGGGUUGUAAACUGCUUUUAGUUGGGAAUAAAAGAAGCGACGUGUCGCUUAUUGUAUGUACCAUCAGAAAAAGGACCGGCUAAUUCCGUGCCAGCAGCCGCGGUAAUACGGAAGGUCCGGGCGUUAUCCGGAUUUAUUGGGUUUAAAGGGAGCGUAGGCGGGCCUUUAAGUCAGUGGUAAAAGCGCGUGGCUCAGCCAUACCACGCCAUUGAAACUGGAGGCCUUGAGUGCACACAGGGAUGCUGGAAUUCGUCGUGUAGCGGUGAAAUGCUUAGAUAUGACGAAGAACUCCGAUCGCGAAGGCAGGUGUCUGGGGUGUAACUGACGCUGAGGCUCGAAAGUGCGGGUAUCAAACAGGAUUAGAUACCCUGGUA
RNAcentral lists this ribosomal RNA (453 nucleotides) under uncultured Alloprevotella sp. RNAcentral describes it as "partial 16S ribosomal RNA". It matches the Rfam family "Bacterial small subunit ribosomal RNA", at positions 341 to 792 of the family's 1533-position model. Lineage: Bacteria; Pseudomonadati; Bacteroidota; Bacteroidia; Bacteroidales; Prevotellaceae. The record is from RNAcentral.